Molecule: ribosomal RNA, 468 nt
Filed under: uncultured bacterium
Lineage: Bacteria
Description: partial 16S ribosomal RNA
Rfam family: Bacterial small subunit ribosomal RNA
Source: RNAcentral
GACGAACGCUGGCGGCGUGCUUAACACAUGCAAGUCGAACGGAAAGGCCCUGCUUUUGUGGGGUGCUCGAGUGGCGAACGAGUGAGUAACACGUGAGUAACCUGCCCUUGACUUUGGGAUAACUUCAGGAAACUGGGGCUAAUACCGGAUAGGAGCUCCUGCUGCAUGGUGGGGGUUGGAAAGUUUCGGCGGUUGGGGAUGGACUCGCGGCUUAUCAGAUUGUUGGUGGGGUAGUGGCUUACCAAGGCUUUGACGGGUAGCCGGCCUGAGAGGGUGACCGGCCACAUUGGGACUGAGAUACGGCCCAGACUCCUACGGGAGGCAGCAGUGGGGAAUAUUGCACAAUGGGCGGAAGCCUGAUGCAGCAACGCCGCGUGCGGGAUGACGGCCUUCGGGUUGUAAACCGCUUUCGCCUGUGACGAGGCGUGAGUGACGGUAAUGGGUAAAGAAGCACCGGCUAACUACGUG